This 240-nucleotide ribosomal RNA is filed under the name uncultured bacterium. Its description in RNAcentral is "partial 16S ribosomal RNA". It matches the Rfam family "Bacterial small subunit ribosomal RNA", at positions 335 to 567 of the family's 1533-position model. The record is from RNAcentral.
UGGCCUACGGGAGGCAGCAGUAGGGAAUCUUCCACAAUGGACGAAAGUCUGAUGGAGCAACGCCGCGUGAGUGAAGAAGGGUUUCGGCUCGUAAAGCGCUGUUGGGAGUGAAGAAUGAUAGAGGUAGUAACUGGCCUUUAUUUGACGGUAAUUACUUAGAAAGUCACGGCUAACUACGUGCCAGCAGCCGCGGUAAUACGUAGGUGGCAAGCGUUGUCCGGAUUUAUUGGGCGGUAAGCG